This is a non-coding RNA of Salvelinus sp. IW2-2015, 1035 nucleotides long. Lineage: Eukaryota; Metazoa; Chordata; Actinopteri; Salmoniformes; Salmonidae. The record is from RefSeq and is a predicted model, not a curated record.
UAAAUGAGAACUUGUUCUCAACUUGCCUACCUGGUUAAAUAAAGGUGAAAAAAAGAGGUAAAUAUGACAGUGGGAUGAGAGUAACUUAUCAAGCCUUUUGUUGCUUUUUGUUGUUGCAUGUGGUAAUUUUGUGUCUUGUCUCCCUCUGGUGACUCCCACCCUGCUUGGAUGUUUUGUCAGGCUUGUCGUGCAGGAAGAGAUCCUCUCUGCUGGCUUUUCUCUGUGUGUGUUAGCCCUGUGGGGCGAGGCCUGUCCCUCCCCAGCCCUGCUCCGUAGCUGGAGGCAGCAUGGGAAAUGGACUCACAACAUCUAUGGCAUCACUGAGGUGUUCUGCUGGGCCUGCUGCUAGCACUUCCCAGAGAGCCUCCUGCAGUCUACUGAUYUUUGGCAGUGUGUGUGGACGCACCACUGUGGGAGUGGAGAUGUGUUCUCCUCACCCUGUCUCCAUCCCUCUCUGACAGCAGUGUGUCGCCACCCUUGGUGGAAACUUCCUCUGUCUCCAUCCUGACACUGGUAUUGUCCUGUAGAUGUAUUCCAGGAAGACUACAUUUUUCUCCAUCCCAAGCGGCUUCAUUGGAAACCUAAUCAUCGGCUCUGUGGAUGGAAACAUCUGCUGCCUCACCCACACAGGGAAAAUGCUGUGGCAGUAUGUGACCAAGGGCAGUGUUCUCAUCUUCUCAUCGCCAUGCAUCAUACCAGACAAGCAGAGCAUUGUGUGUGGGUCACAUGACGGGUGUGUGUACUGUCUGAACUGUGCUGACGGCUCAUUGAUGUGGCGUUACCAGAGGGUGUACUCCAGCCCCUGUGUGUUUGAGGGGUCACCCUGAGGUAUGGAAGGUACAUUGGUGGGCCUGGCCUCCACAGAUGGGACCCUGUGUGUUCUGGAUGGAGAGAAUGGAACUCUGAGAGCCUCUCUUUGCCCAGGGAGCUCCUCUCCUGUGGUGUGGCAGCGCUCCUGGUGGUCGAAUGACGCAAUGACUUUGUGUACUUGUGUGGAGCCGACAGAUGAGCUCAAAUUGUUUCCUGAGAUGACAU